CCUACGGGUGGCUGCAGUGGGGAAUAUUGGACAAUGGGCGAAAGCCUGAUCCAGCCAUGCCGCGUGUGUGAAGAAGGCCUUCGGGUUGUAAAGCACUUUCAGUGGGGAAGAAAGCCUUGGGGCUAAUACCCUCGAGGAAGGACAUCACCCACAGAAGAAGCACCGGCUAACUCCGUGCCAGCAGCCGCGGUAAUACGGAGGGUGCGAGCGUUAAUCGAAUUACUGGGCGUAAAGCGCGCGUAGGCGGUCUGAUAAGCCGGUUGUGAAAGCCCCGGGCUCAACCUGGGAACGGCAUCCGGAACUGUCAGGCUAGAGUGCAGGAGAGGAAGGUAGAAUUCCCGGUGUAGCGGUGAAAUGCGUAGAGAUCGGGAGGAAUACCAGUGGCGAAGGCGGCCUUCUGGACUGACACUGACGCUGAGGUGCGAAAGCGUGGGUAGCAAACAGGAUUAGAUACCCCGGUAGUC
This 464-nucleotide ribosomal RNA is filed under the name Vreelandella stevensii. RNAcentral's name for it is "partial 16S ribosomal RNA". It matches the Rfam family "Bacterial small subunit ribosomal RNA", at positions 338 to 795 of the family's 1533-position model. Lineage: Bacteria; Pseudomonadati; Pseudomonadota; Gammaproteobacteria; Oceanospirillales; Halomonadaceae. The record is from RNAcentral.